AGGUAAUCCACCUGAAGCUAAGCAGGUUUGGGCCUGGCCAGAACUUGGAUGGGAGACCAACCAGGACAGCUGGGUUGCUUC
RNAcentral lists this ribosomal RNA (81 nucleotides) under Paramormyrops kingsleyae. Lineage: Eukaryota; Metazoa; Chordata; Actinopteri; Osteoglossiformes; Mormyridae. The record is from RNAcentral.